This 1202-nucleotide ribosomal RNA is filed under the name Papillicardium papillosum. RNAcentral describes it as "eukaryotic LSU rRNA". It matches the Rfam family "Eukaryotic large subunit ribosomal RNA", at positions 51 to 951 of the family's 3401-position model. The record is from RNAcentral. Lineage: Eukaryota; Metazoa; Mollusca; Bivalvia; Cardiida; Cardiidae.
CGGAUGACAAGAAACUAACGAGGAUUCCUCUAGUAACGGCGAGUGAAGCAGGAAAAGCCCAGCACCGAAUCCCCUCUGCGCUGGCGUGGAGAGGGAAAUGUGGUGUUAGGGAGGCGAGCUGCGUGCGCGGUCUCGGUGCCCAGGUCCUCGUGAUCGUGGCCCUUCGCCCCGUCGAGGGUGUUAGGCCCGUCGUGGCACCGGACUCGCGUCGUCCGCGAGCCUCCCGGGAGUCGGGUUGCUUGAGAUCGCAGCCCAAAGUGGGUGGUAAACUCCAUCUAAGGCUAAAUACUGGACACGAGUCCGAUAGUAGACAAGUACCGUGAGGGAAAGUUGAAAACAACUUUGAAGAGAGAGUUCAAGAGUACGUGAAACCGCACAGAGUCAAACGGGUGGAGCCGCAAUAUUCCCGUCCCGGGCAUUCAACCCGUCGCUGCCGAGCGGCCGCCUGGAUUCGGACCAAGCGCGUCUAGCUUCUCNCCUCCAUNCCGGGGUGGGAAGUUGCGGCGCUGGGCCCGGCUUUUCCCAUGGAAGCUGCGAGGUGCGCGGGUGCACUUGCUCCCGGUUCGUCGGGGGCCACGACCGGUUCCUUUCGCAGCCAGUCUGGAGUCGGGUCGGUCGGGCGUCACUGCUGCUUGNGGUUUCGUCCCUUCGGCGGCGGAGGCGCUCCGGCCCUGAUGGAACUCGCNUGGGGACCGAGGACGCGAAUGGCCGACGCUGUCGGAACGCUGGGUACUCUCGCUAGCGUCCUGGGGAGCGACCCCCUCACGGGGGACGCUCUGUAAAACCCGGGGUGCUGCGGGCUCUGGCCCUGUUCCUCAGCGUAGUGUCUCGAGUGUCGGUGGCGGAUUAGGUCGGUACUCCACCCGACCCGUCUUGAAACACGGACCAAGGAGUCCAGCAUGUGCGCGAGUCAAUGGGACUUACGAAACCCUACGGCGAAAUGAAAGUGAAGGCCGCCUACGGCAGGCCUAGGCAGGAUCCCCGUCCCUAAUCGGACGGGGCGCACUGCCGGCCCGUCUCGGUCGCUUGCGACGACGAGGCGGAGCUAGAGCGCACACGCUGGGACCCGAAAGAUGGUGAACUAUGCCUGAGCAGGACGAAGUCAGGGGAAACUCUGAUGGAGGUCCGCAGCGAUUCUGACGUGCAAAUCGAUCGUCAAACUCGGGUAUAGGGGCGAAAGACUAAUCGAACCAUGUAGUAGC